Molecule: ribosomal RNA, 253 nt
Filed under: uncultured bacterium
Lineage: Bacteria
Description: partial 16S ribosomal RNA
Rfam family: Bacterial small subunit ribosomal RNA
Source: RNAcentral
UACGUAGGGGGCAAGCGUUGUCCGGAAUCAUUGGGCGUAAAGAGCGUGUAGGCGGCUCGGUAAGUCCGCUCUGAAAUCCCUCGGCCCAACCGAGGAACUGCGCCCGAGACUGCUUCUCUUGAGUCCCGGAGAGGAAGGUGGAAUUCCCGGUGUAGCGGUGAAAUGUGUAGAGAUCGGGAGGAACACCGGUGGCGAAGGCGGCCUUCUGGACGGUGACUGACGCUGAGGCGCGAAAGCGUGGGGAGCAAACGGG